RNAcentral lists this non-coding RNA (667 nucleotides) under Homo sapiens (human). Lineage: Eukaryota; Metazoa; Chordata; Mammalia; Primates; Hominidae. The record is from RNAcentral.
GGAAAGCCUAGACAGACUGAGUGAUAGCCCCUCGUCAAGGUGACAUUUAAGCCAAGAGAUGAAGAAUGAAAGAAGGGGAGGCCACAUGAAAAAGGCAAGCCCUGGAAUAGUGAGAACAGAAGCUUUGGAGGUGAUGAGCCCGGUGUGUUCUGGGAAUUGAUGAAAGAGUCGGAGUGACUGGGACCCGUAGGGGUGGGAGGUUCAGGAAAUGAGUGUGGAGAAAGAGACACAAGGCCUUCAAAGCAGAUUAAUAAGGGGUGUGGCUUCCACCUAGACUUCAGUGACACUGCUAAAUGGCAGAGCUGUUCUAAGUGUUUUAUCUGUAUGAACUGUGCUUCAGUGAGUUUUGGUUGUAAGCCCUGUUUUACAGAGAUGGCAAUUAAUUAAUUAAGACCCAACGUACUGAAUCAGCUUGCCUCAGGGUCCCUUGGCUGAGCCAGGAUCACUCCUCUAUGUUGUCUUUCAAGAUAUGUAGAAAGAAAUCCUUUAGAAAGGCAAAUGUCGAUUUCUAAUGCAGACAAAACAUAACUAACUGCACUAAGUGGUCAUCAUAGGCUCAGUUGUCUCAAUUUUGUGGUACUGGGUCAGUUUCUCUGUUUUAGGUUUGGAUUCCCUGCAUACAGACACUUUAGAAGUGAUGGCACCUCUCCCAACAUCCCCAUGCCCC